CAUGAUACACACACUGAGGCACGUUGUCUAUAAUUAACCCCGAGCCUUUCUAGCCAUCCUGAAUCAUUAUAUCCCUCGUAACCCCCUUUGAGCCUAUAUCCAUUUUUUGUUUAAAACACCAUGAAUGUAACCAUUGGCCAAAAACACUUCCUCACCCUGUUCAGAGUCAUGAGAAUACAUUUCAACUGUGUUGAAAAUCUAAGUUUGGGGUAAAAACCCCAAAAGCUCUCAAAGCCCUAGAAAGUGCAAAAAUAAAAGAAAAAUAAAAAUCAAAUAAUCGACGAUUCAAAAGAAAAAGCAGGAAAAA
RNAcentral lists this long non-coding RNA (307 nucleotides) under Lathyrus oleraceus (garden pea). Its description in RNAcentral is "Pisum sativum (pea) long non-coding RNA (PSAT_LNC011724)". Lineage: Eukaryota; Viridiplantae; Streptophyta; Magnoliopsida; Fabales; Fabaceae. The record is from RNAcentral.